UACGUAGGGUGCGAGCGUUAAUCGGAAUUACUGGGCGUAAAGCGUGUGUAGGCGGCCAUAUAAGUCGGAUGUGAAAGCCCUGGGCUCAACCCAGGAAGUGCACUCGAUACUGUAUGGCUCGAGUACUGGAGAGGUUGGUGGAAUUCUCGGUGUAGAGGUGAAAUUCGUAGAUAUCGAGAGGAACACCGGUGGCGAAGGCGGCCAACUGGACAGAUACUGACGCUGAGACACGAAAGCGUGGGGAGCAAACAGG
Molecule: ribosomal RNA, 253 nt
Filed under: uncultured bacterium
Lineage: Bacteria
Description: partial 16S ribosomal RNA
Rfam family: Bacterial small subunit ribosomal RNA
Source: RNAcentral